Molecule: long non-coding RNA, 397 nt
Filed under: Ananas comosus (pineapple)
Lineage: Eukaryota; Viridiplantae; Streptophyta; Magnoliopsida; Poales; Bromeliaceae
Description: long non-coding RNA (ACOM_LNC038237)
Source: RNAcentral
CUCGAUAAAUCUUGUAACGACCCGACUUGCUUAGUCCCUGACGUUCUUGUCGAGUCCAAAUCAGAUCAUAAAUACAGAUCAGAAUUAUCAGGCUAUGUGAGAUUGUAGAGCUGACUCUUAUGGGUUCAAGAGGUGACUUCUACUAAAUCCGUUGGUGUAGCACUUUGUCCUGCAUAGCACCUAGCUCUUACAUUUCUUGCUGGUAUUCGGCUCUGAUACCAAUUGUAAUGAUCCCAUCCGCUAGCAAUAAUUGUAAUGGUCCAAACCAUCGGCUCAAAGUAUUUAAGUCCAGUUAUUAUUACUAACGUGUAGGUCUCAUAUAUUCUAAUCAGAAUCAGUUUUUCAUCCGACGUGGGACUAUUGGGGCGUUACAAAUCUUCUGGAAGAAAACACAUUU